CCUACGGGCGGCAGCAGUGAGGAAUAUUGGUCAAUGGGCGAGAGCCUGAACCAGCCAAGUCGCGUGAGGGAGUACUGCCCUAUGGGUUGUAAACCUCUUUUGUCGGGGAGCAAAAGCCGGACGUGUCCGGCUGUGAGAGUACCCGAAGAAAAAGCACCGGCGAACUCCGUGCCAGCCGCCGCGGGAAUACGGAGGAUGCGAGCGUUCUCCGGAUUUAUUGGGUUUCAGGGGGGCGAAGGCGGAUUUGUAAGUCAGCGGUCAAAGCGUGGGGCUCAACCCCAUCCAGCCGUUGAAACUGGGGUUCUAGACUGUGCGAGCGGUAUGCGUCAUGCGUUGUGUCGCUGUGACCUGCAUAGAUCUCACGCAGAACCCCGAUUGCGCCGGCAGCAUACCGGUGCACACCUGACGCUCAGGCACGAACGCGUGGGUAUCGAAC
RNAcentral lists this ribosomal RNA (436 nucleotides) under uncultured bacterium. RNAcentral describes it as "partial 16S ribosomal RNA". It matches the Rfam family "Bacterial small subunit ribosomal RNA", at positions 338 to 773 of the family's 1533-position model. The record is from RNAcentral.